GGACGAGAAGCUUGCUUCUCUGAUGUUAGCGGCGGACGGGUAAGUAACACGUGGAUAACCUACCUAUAAGACUGGGAUAACUUCGGGAAACCGGAGCUAAUACCGGAUAAUAUUUUGAACCGCAUGGUUCAAAAGUAAAAGACGGUCUUGCUGUCACUUAUAGAUGGAUCCGCGCUGCAUUAGCUAGUUGGUAAGGUAACGGCUUACCAAGGCAACGAUGCAUAGCCGACCUGAGAGGGUGAUCGGCCACACUGGAACUGAGACACGGUCCAGACUCCUACGGGAGGCAGCAGUAGGGAAUCUUCCGCAAUGGGCGAAAGCCUGACGGAGCAACGCCGCGUGAGUGAUGAAGGUCUUCGGAUCGUAAAACUCUGUUAUUAGGGAAGAACAUAUGUGUAAGUAACUGUGCACAUCUUGACGGUACCUAAUCAGAAAGCCACGGCUAACUACGUGCCAGCAGCCGCGGUAAUACGUAGGUGGCAAGCGUUAUCCGGAAUUAUUGGGCGUAAAGCGCGCGUAGGCGGUUUUUUAAGUCUGAUGUGAAAGCCCACGGCUCAACCGUGGAGGGUCAUUGGAAACUGGAAAACUUGAGUGCAGAAGAGGAAAGUGGAAUUCCAUGUGUAGCGGUGAAAUGCGCAGAGAUAUGGAGGAACACCAGUGGCGAAGGCGACUUUCUGGUCUGUAACUGACGCUGAUGUGCGAAAGCGUGGGGAUCAAACAGGAUUAGAUAUCCUGGUAGUCCACGCCGUAAACGAUGAGUGCUAAGUGUUAGGGGGUUUCCGCCCCUUAGUGCUGCAGCUAAC
RNAcentral lists this ribosomal RNA (803 nucleotides) under uncultured Staphylococcus sp. RNAcentral's name for it is "bacterial SSU rRNA". It matches the Rfam family "Bacterial small subunit ribosomal RNA", at positions 69 to 856 of the family's 1533-position model. Lineage: Bacteria; Bacillati; Bacillota; Bacilli; Caryophanales; Staphylococcaceae. The record is from RNAcentral.